This 29-nucleotide non-coding RNA is filed under the name Rattus norvegicus (Norway rat). Lineage: Eukaryota; Metazoa; Chordata; Mammalia; Rodentia; Muridae. The record is from RNAcentral.
UAGCCUAUCGUUCCCGUUGAAUCGGAGCC